Molecule: ribosomal RNA, 2874 nt
Filed under: human gut metagenome
Description: bacterial LSU rRNA
Rfam family: Bacterial large subunit ribosomal RNA
Source: RNAcentral
GAAAGUAAGCAAGGGCAGACGGUGGAUGCCUUGGCUCUCGGAGGCGACGAAGGACGUGAUAAGCUGCGAAAAGCCCGGGGGAGGCGCAAAUAGCCCUUGAUCCCGGGAUAUCCGAAUGGGGCAACCCGGCAGGCUGAAGGCCUGUCAUCCCGUAAGGGAGGCGAACGUGGGGAACUGAAACAUCUAAGUACCCAUAGGAGGAGAAAAUAAACAAUGAUUCCGUAAGUAGUGGCGAGCGAACACGGAAGAGCCCAAACCCAUGUCGUCUAGGCGACACGGGGGUUGUAGGACCACGACGUGGCAAGAGGAUGGCAAGUGGAACGCCUUGGAAAGGGCGACCGUAGAGGGUGAUAGUCCCGUACACGACUGCCUGCCGAAGCCUAGUGGCAUCCUGAGUAGCGCGGGGCACGAGAAAUCUUGCGUGAAACAGCGGGGCCCAUCCCGUAAGGCUAAAUACUCCCGAGAGACCGAUAGCGAACCAGUACCGUGAGGGAAAGGUGAAAAGAACCCCGAGCAGGGGAGUGAAAUAGACCCUGAACCCGUCUGCCUACAAGCGGUCGGAGCAUAGCAAUAUGUGACGGCGUGCCUUUUGCAUAAUGAACCUACGAGUUACCUUCCCCGGCAAGGUUAAGUACCUAAGGUACGGAGCCGAAGCGAAAGCGAGUCUGAAGAGGGCGGCCAGUCGGGGGGGGUAGACGCGAAACCGAGUGAUCUACCCUUGGCCAGGUUGAAGGUUGGGUAACACCAACUGGAGGACCGGAUGGGUAAGCGUUGAAAAGCUUUCCAAUGAGCUGAGGGUAGGGGUGAAAGGCUAAUCAAACUCGGAGAUAGCUCGUACUCCCCGAAAUGCAUUUAGGUGCAGCCUCUUUAUAGUAUAUCGUGAGGUAGAGCGACUGAUUGGAUGCGAGGGCUUCACCGCCUAUCAAGUCCAGAUAAACUCCGAAUGCGCGAUAUAUAUUUACAGGGAGUGAGGGCGCGGGUGCUAAGGUCCGUGUCCGAGAGGAGAAGAAUCCAGACCACCGGCUAAGGCCCCCAAAUGAUCGUUGAGUUGAACUAACGAGGUCGGAUCGCAGAGACAGCUAGGAUGUUGGCUUGGAAGCAGCCAUUCAUUUAAAGAGUGCGUAACAGCUCACUAGUCGAGCGAUCUGGCGUGGAUAAUAAUCGGGCAUAAACGAUCUGCCGAAGCCGUGGAUGUCGUAAGACAUGGUAGGGGAGCAUUCCAUGCGGCGUCGAAGAUGAGGGAUGACCCUUGUUGGAGCGCAUGGAAAAGCAAAUGUAGGUAUGAGUAACGAUAAGGGGGGCGAGAAACCCCCCCGCCGAAAGACCAAGGUUUCCUGAUCAACGCUAAUCGGAUCAGGGUGAGUCGGGACCUAAGGCAAAGCCGAACGGCGCCGCCGAUGGAAGAAUGGGUUAAUAUUCCCAUACUGCCUCAUGGAGUGACGUGGAGACGGAGAAGUGACAGUCCUGCCGGCUGACGGAAUAGCCGGUUGAAGGGUGUAGAUAUUGAUUCCCGUAGGCAAAUCCGCGGGGAGAGUCGAACCUGACAGUAUACCGAGUACUUGUACGAGGUAAUAUGGACGUAACCAUGCUCCCAAGAAAAUCCGCUAAACUUAUCCAUGCGGCACCCGUACCGUAAACGGACACACGUGGUCGGGUUGAGAAUACUGAGGCGCUCGAGUGACUCACGGUUAAGGAACUAGGCAAAUUGACCCUGUAACUUCGGGAUAAAGGGUCCUCGUCGUAAGGCGAGGCGCAGAGAAUAGGUCCAGGCAACUGUUUAACAAAAACACAUGGCUAUGCUAAAUGGAAACAUGACGUAUAUAGCCUGACACCUGCCCGGUGCUGGAAGGUUAAGAGGAGAUGUCAUCGCAAGAGAAGCGUUGAAUUGAAGCCCCAGUAAACGGCGGCCGUAACUAUAACGGUCCUAAGGUAGCGAAAUUCCUUGUCGGGUAAGUUCCGACCUGCACGAAUGGUGUAAUGAUCUGGACGCUGUCUCAACCGUGAGCUCAGUGAAAUUGUAGUAUCGGUGAAGAUGCCGAUUACCCGCGAUGGGACGAAAAGACCCCGUGAACCUUUACUAUAGCUUUACAUUGAAUUUGGGCAGACGAUGUGUAGGAUAGGCCGGAGGCUUUGAAGGGGGUACGCCAGUAUCCUUGGAGCCGCCGUUGAAAUACGGCCCUUCGGUUGUUUGAGUUCUAACUCCCGGAUGGGAGGACACUGUAUGGUGGGUAGUUUGACUGGGGUGGUCGCCUCCAAAAGCGUAACGGAGGCUUCUAAAGGUGCCCUCAGACCGAUUGGUAACCGGUCGUAGAGUGUAAUGGCAUAAGGGCGCUUGACUGGGAGAGAUACAACUCGAUCAGGUAGGAAACUAGAGCAUAGUGAUCCGGUGGUUCCGCAUGGAAGGGCCAUCGCUCAAAGGAUAAAAGGUACUCCGGGGAUAACAGGCUGAUCAUUCCCAAGAGCUCAUAUCGACGGAAUGGUUUGGCACCUCGAUGUCGGCUCGUCACAUCCUGGGGCUGGAGAAGGUCCCAAGGGUUGGGCUGUUCGCCCAUUAAAGUGGCACGCGAGCUGGGUUCAGAACGUCGUGAGACAGUUCGGUCUCUAUCUAUCGUGGGCGCAGGAGAUUUGAGGGGCUCUGACACUAGUACGAGAGGACCGUGUUGGACGUACCACUGGUUUACCGGUUGUCCCGCCAGGGGCACCGCCGGGUAUCUAAGUACGGAUCGGAUAAGUGCUGAAAGCAUCUAAGUACGAAGCCGGCCUCAAGAUUAGAUCUCCCUGAAGGGUGGUUAUAGACGAUGACCUUGAUAGGCCACAGGUGUAAGGGCGGCGACGUCCGAGCCGAGUGGUACUAAUAGCCCGGGACUUUCCUCA